ACGAGUUAGGGUCUCUCAAGGCCCGACCUCCCAACCCUUUGUCUACUUGACCACUGUUGCUUCGGCGAGCCCGUCCCUAUGGACCGCCGGAGGGUACCUUUAUCGGCCCUCUAGUCAGCGCUCGUCGAUAGCCAAACUUUUAAAAUCUUUAACUAAAUGUGUCUUAAUCUAAGUACUAUUUGUUAAAUAAAAGCA
This 195-nucleotide unclassified non-coding RNA is filed under the name uncultured Exophiala. Its description in RNAcentral is "sequence contains ITS1". The record is from RNAcentral. Lineage: Eukaryota; Fungi; Ascomycota; Eurotiomycetes; Chaetothyriales; Herpotrichiellaceae.